CAAUAGCGUAUAUUAAAGUUGUUGCAGUUAAAAAGCUCGUAGUUGGAUUUCUGGUUGAAGCGACCGGUCGGGCGUUGAUUCGUCUGCACUGGAGUCGGUUUUGGCCAUCCUCUAGGAAAGUGCGUCUGGUAUUAAGUUAUCGGGCGUAUGAUCCUGGUCUUUUACUGUGAAAAAAUUAGAGUGUUUAAAGCAGGCCUUCGCCUUGAAUACAUUAGCAUGGAAUAAUAAGAUAGGACUUUGGUCUAUUUUGUUGGUUUGCAGACCGAAGUAAUGAUUAAUAGGGAUAGUUGGGGGUAUUUAUAUUCCGAUGUCAGAGGUGAAAUUCUUAGAUUUUCGGAAGGUAAACUUAUGCGAAAGCAUUUACCAAGGAUGUUUNCAUUA
Molecule: ribosomal RNA, 381 nt
Filed under: uncultured eukaryote
Lineage: Eukaryota
Description: partial 18S ribosomal RNA
Rfam family: Eukaryotic small subunit ribosomal RNA
Source: RNAcentral